GGUCAGAUGGCCGAGUUGGUUAUGGCGCCAGGUUAAGGUUUAUCUUAACAUCAUUUCCUGGUCACGAAAGUGGCGUGGGUUCGAGUCCCACUCUGAUCA
Non-coding RNA from Halenospora varia, 99 nucleotides. The record is from the annotation of a GenBank genome assembly. Lineage: Eukaryota; Fungi; Ascomycota; Leotiomycetes; Helotiales; Solenopeziaceae.